AUGGCACUGUUUCAGUUAUGCAAUACUUGCAGUUAACCAUAAGAGGGCAGUAGUUACUCAUUAUUUCCUUUGACAAUACUGAAGCUUUAUUGGGUAUCCACAAGCUCCUCCUUGGAUCAUCAUUAUUAUAAUACUAAAAGUAAAAUUCUCCCACUGCUGAUUUAUCUGAACUUCAAGGUUUAUUCAGCAGUCAUGUCACACAAGUUGAGGAAUAUAUUUCUCUUCACACUCUUCAUUCUUGAGUGCAGAUCAGAGGACACAGUUGAUCAGCCAGACAAACAUGUGACUGAAGCUGAAGGAAGAUCAGUGACAUUACAGUGUAAAUAUAAAACAGAUUCAACAGGAGAAUAUUUAUUCUGGUACAUCCAGAGAGCAAAUGACUUUCCUAAAUACAUCCUGAGGAGAAGCAAAUAUGGAGGAGAAAAUGGCACUGAGUUCCAGGAGAGAUUUCACUCUGAACUUUCAUCAAAUUCAGUUCCUCUGAAGAUCAAGGAUCUGCGUGUGUCUGACUCUGCUGUGUAUUACUGUGCUCUGAGGCCCACAGUCACAGGAAACACAUCAGAUACAAAAACCUGUUACACAGAGACACGGACGAACACAGAUAGAAAGAAACAGGAACUGACAAUCACAGCAUUUUGUCAGAAAAUGAGAAUGGAGAGAGGCGUUGGAGAAUGA
Molecule: non-coding RNA, 675 nt
Organism: Megalobrama amblycephala (Wuchang bream)
Lineage: Eukaryota; Metazoa; Chordata; Actinopteri; Cypriniformes; Xenocyprididae
Source: the annotation of a RefSeq genome assembly